CAUGGCCUGGGCAAUAGCUUGCUUCUGCUCAUCCUUGAGGUUGGCCUCCGUCACGGGGAUGACGUUUUCUUGAUCGAGGUCGGAGAUCGACAUGUUGAUCUUGAUCUUGAAUCUUGUCCCACCGGGCGUGCCAAAAGAUGUGUUGAUGCAAAACUGGUCUGCAAACACAAAGGGCUAAUACCCGAUUCAAACGUUAAGGCGUGCCAGCCGAUUUGACCUUGCUAUCGGCAAAGGUGAUAACUCGAAUACUUUAGUCCGGACAACAGCGAUGCGCCCGGAUGUCACGGCUAAGAGGUACUCACGCGGAACUUAAGAACACGCCAAGCUUAAGUCGACGAAUUCCUAAGAACUCGUAACAAAAGGAAAAAGUAUGACGAAGUCGUCGAAAAGUAAAUGCUGGAAUAUGAGUAAAAACGUGUGUUUGAUUUCUUGAUUGAUUAUCUAUUACAAGGCCCUAGGGUCUAUAUUUAUACCCUGCUCAAAGAGCUAUAACCAGACACGAUUAGAAUUCGAAUUCCAAAUUACACGGAAUCCGUAUACAAAACGAUGUAAAUAAUUAAGGAAAUAACAAAACUAUCCCUCGUGACAAACCGAAACUCCUCCACAUAACGACCGGCAGCUUCCGGACUCCCUCUUUGCAUCAUCGGCAGACCCUUUGCCAUAGUCAUCGGCAGACUUUCUUAUCUAGCCAUCGACACCAUAUUACUGCCUGUGGACUUAAUCACGUUCAACCUCUCCCUCAUCGGCAAGCAUCCUCAUCGGCAACCCACUUUGUAAACAUCGUACUGCCACCUUAUCCUGCCAUCCCAGACACGUGCCCAAAAACGGUGUCAACAGUAUAUACAUAGACACUUAAACUAAAAGUAAAUAUUAAUUAUUUAUUAUUUUUAUACAUAUAUAAAUAUAUAAUUGCAUUGUAAAUAAUUGCAUUAUAAAUAAUUGCAUUAUAAAAAAGAAAUAAAUAUAUAAUUGCAUUGUAAAUUAUACAUUAUAAAAUAAUUAAUAAUUUAUUUAGGACAAUUAUUUACGACAAUUAAUAAUUAUUUAGGACAAUUAAUAAUUAUAAGAAAAAUAAAACAUCAUAUACAUUUAUUUUGGACAAUUAAUAAUUAAUAAUUAUUUAGGAAAAUUAAUAAAUAUUUGGGACAAUUAAUAAUACAUCAUAUACAUUUAUUUAGGAUAAUUAAUUAUUAUUUAGAACAAUUAUACAUCAUAAACAUCGUAUAAGAAAAAUAAAAAAAGAAAAAUAAAAAAACUGGCGGCUAGUGGGCCGGCCGAGCUGGGCAGGAGGCCCACCGGCCCCUGCCCCUCCCCCUCUCUCUCUCACUCUCGCCCUCUCCACCGGCCGCAACGCCGCCGCCGCCUCCUCCUCGGGUGACCACCCCGACGCUGCCCCGGCCGCCUCGACUUCGCCCGCCUCCGUACGCCGCCACGACUCCCCGCUACACUCACCGCGUCGCCGCCAGCGAGCCGCGGCCACCGCCGCGCUCUCUGCUUCCGCCCCCGAGCUCCCGCAUCGGCCGCCGCGCGCAGCCGCACCCGCCGCAGCCGCACGCGCACCCACUCCCACGUCGCAGCCGGGAGCUUGCCUCGAAGAGAAGAUGCCGGCGAGAAGGAGAAGGUCAGCCUCUCGCCGGCGAUGGGAAAUUUGGGCAGCCUGGCGGCGUGUUUGAAUAGAGACUGGCGCCUUUGGAGACUUAGAAAAUUUCAGAUCUGUGCGCGGAGUAUAUAUGGCCUCGAUUUCUACAGGUGGUUGG
This 1757-nucleotide long non-coding RNA is filed under the name Sorghum bicolor (sorghum). RNAcentral describes it as "long non-coding RNA (SBIC_LNC013989)". Lineage: Eukaryota; Viridiplantae; Streptophyta; Magnoliopsida; Poales; Poaceae. The record is from RNAcentral.